CCUACGGGCGGCAGCAGUGAGGAAUAUUGGUCAAUGGGCGCUAGCCUGAACCAGCCAAGUAGCGUGAAGGAUGACUGCCCUAUGGGUUGUAAACUUCUUUUAUAUGGGAAUAAAGUGCAGUAUGUAUACUGCUUUGCAUGUACCUUAUGAAUAAGGAUCGGCUAACUCCGUGCCAGCAGCCGCGGUAAUACGGAGGAUCCGAGCGUUAUCCGGAUUUAUUGGGUUUAAAGGGAGCGUAGGCGGGUUGUUAAGUCAGUUGUGAAAGUUUGCGGCUCAACCGUAAAAUUGCAGUUGAUACUGGCAGCCUUGAGUACAGUAGAGGUAGGCGGAAUGCGUGGUGUAGCGGUGAAAUGCUUAGAUAUCACGAAGAACUCCGAUUGCGAAGGCAGCCUGCUGGACUGUAACUGACGCUGAUGCUCGAAAGUGUGGGUAUCAAACAGGAUUAGAUACCCCAGUAGUC
This 460-nucleotide ribosomal RNA is filed under the name uncultured bacterium. RNAcentral describes it as "partial 16S ribosomal RNA". It matches the Rfam family "Bacterial small subunit ribosomal RNA", at positions 338 to 795 of the family's 1533-position model. The record is from RNAcentral.